Molecule: long non-coding RNA, 1171 nt
Filed under: Capra hircus (goat)
Lineage: Eukaryota; Metazoa; Chordata; Mammalia; Artiodactyla; Bovidae
Description: lncRNA (ENSCHIG00010023422.1)
Source: RNAcentral
GAGCUGGCAAGUCCGAAGUCCGUGAGGCAAGCCAACAGUCUGGAAACUCACGUGUGUUGCCCUCUUAAGGUGGAAUUCUGUGGAAUUCUGUCUUUGCUUUUAAGACCUUCGGUUGAUUGAUAGUCCAUGGGGCUGCAAAGAGUCGGACACGACUGAGCGACUUUCACUGAAGCACUUUUGUUUCUCAAGAAUUUCCAGGUGAGGUAUUCACACCUUCUUGACCUGAGAUGUAUUAAUACCACAAGCAUUAGUUUCUACAAAAAUCACCCUCCACCCCAGUCAAUAAUGUGUUAACACAGGAAUCCUGUGCAGACCAUUAGAGGUAAUGGUUCUCAGGUAAGGGUUUAAGAAUUGCCUGUGGGAUACCUUAAGCAGGAAAACAGAGAAUAUUAAUCCUGCAGUUUGAAAGACUUUAAACUUUGUAAAGAGCAACAGCAAUAACAAAAGGCUUGUGUGAUGGUUAAAUUUAAGGUGUCAACUUGUCUAGGCUAUGGUGCCUAUUUGUUUAGUCAAACAUUAGUCUAGAUGUUUCUAGAGGUAUUUUGUAGAUGUGAUGAACUCUCCCACCAGCUGACUUGAAGUAAAAAAGAUUACCCUUGAUAAUGUGCGUGGGCCUCUUGCAAUCAGUGAGUGAGUGAGAGUCUCUUAGUCGUGUCCUACUCUUUUCGACCACAUGGACUAUCAGUCCAUGGGAUUCUCCAGGCCACAAUACUGGAGUGGGUAGCCUUUCACCUUCUCCAGGGGACUUUCCCAACCCAGGGAUCAAACCCAGAUCUCCAGCAUUGCAGGCAGAUUCUUUAUCAGCUGAGCCACAAGGGAAGCCCAAGAGCACUGGUGAGUUUAGCCUAUCCCUUCUCCAGGGAUCUUCCCAGCACAGGAAUUAAAUGCCAACUGAGCUAUCAGGGAAGCCCAAGGUGCUUUAUGUGGAGAUUAGAAUAUAAAAACAUAACAAGGAAAAAGCUAUCCAAUUAUGUCACUUAAUUCAACAGUCAUACACUCUAAUGAAACAAGAAUUAAAUCAACUUAACUGUUUAUUUCCAUUUGGUGAUCAAUAGCUAACAAUAAAGACUUCCCAAGUAGCUCAAGUGGUAAAGAAUUUGCUGGCAAAUGCAGUAGACUCAGGUUCAAUCCCUGGGUCGGGAAGAUCCCCCUGGAGGAGGAAAUGGCAACC